GCCUGGAUGAUCCUUAGUGGUAUAGGGUACAGGCUUCAAACCUGUAGCUGUCUGGUGACAGAGUGGUUCAGUUACACCUUUCAAGCA
Molecule: transfer RNA, 87 nt
Filed under: Procavia capensis (Cape rock hyrax)
Lineage: Eukaryota; Metazoa; Chordata; Mammalia; Hyracoidea; Procaviidae
Description: tRNA-SeC (TCA) (tRNA-SeC-TCA-2-1)
Rfam family: Selenocysteine transfer RNA
Source: RNAcentral